CCUACGGGAGGCAGCAGUAGGGAAUCUUUCACAAUGGGCGAAAGCCUGAUGGAGCAACGCCGCGUGAAGGAUGAAGGCCUUCGGGUUGAAAACUGCUUUUAUAAGCGAGAUAUAUGAUUGCAAAUUAUGAAUAAGGAUCGGCUAACUACGUGCCAGCAGCGCCGGUCAUAUGUAGGCUCCGAGCAUUAUCCGGAGUGACUGAGUGUAAAGAGUUGCGUAGGUGGCAUAAUAAGUAGCUAGUGAAAUCUGAUGGCUCAACCAUUCAGACUAUUAGCUAAACUGUUAAGCUCGAGACCGUUAGGGGUGACUGGAAUUUCUAGUGUAGGAGUGAAAUCCGUAGAUAUUAGAAAGAACACCGAUAGCGUAGGCAGGUUACUGGGACGGUUCUGACACUAAGGCACGAAAGCGUAGGGAGCAAACGGGAUUAGAUACCCCAGUAGUC
Molecule: ribosomal RNA, 442 nt
Filed under: uncultured bacterium
Lineage: Bacteria
Description: partial 16S ribosomal RNA
Rfam family: Bacterial small subunit ribosomal RNA
Source: RNAcentral